This 251-nucleotide ribosomal RNA is filed under the name uncultured bacterium. Its description in RNAcentral is "partial 16S ribosomal RNA". It matches the Rfam family "Bacterial small subunit ribosomal RNA", at positions 524 to 774 of the family's 1533-position model. The record is from RNAcentral.
UACGUAGGGGGCAAGCGUUAUCCGGAUUUACUGGGUGUAAAGGGAGCGUAGGUGGCAAGGCAAGUCAGAAGUGAAACCCUCGGGCUCAACCUGAGGCAUGCUUUUGAAACUGUCAAGCUGGAGUGCUGGAGAGGUAAGCGGAAUUCCUAGUGUAGCGGUGAAAUGCGUAGAUAUUAGGAGGAACACCGGUGGCGAAGGCGGCUUACUGGACAGUAACUGACACUGAGGCUCGAAAGCGUGGGGAGCAAACA